AGUGGAUGGGGAGCAACAAAAGUUGUGUGUGUGUAAAGGUAGUGCCAAGAAAAGCUGAGUUGAUGUUGAACAAAAGAUUCCGGUACCCGAAACCGACACAGGUAGGCAAGUAGAGAAUACUAAGGGGCGCGAGGUAACUCUCUCCAAGGAACUCGGCAAAAUGACCCCGUAACUUCGGGAGAAGGGGUGCCACCGAGAGGUGGUCGCAGUGAAGAGUCCCAGGCGACUGUUUAGCAAAAACAUAGGUCUCUGCAAACUCGAAAGAGGAGGUAUAGGGGCUGACGCCUGCCCAGUGCCGGAAGGUUAAAGAAGUUGGUCAGUCGAAAGAUGAAGCUAACGACUGAAGCCCCGGUGAACGGCGGCCGUAACUAUAACGGUCCUAAGGUAGCGAAAUUCCUUGUCGGGUAAGUUCCGACCCGCACGAAAGGCGUAACGAUCUGGGAGCUGUCUCGGAGAGAGGCUCGGCGAAAUAGGAUUGUCUGUGAAGAUACGGACUACCUGCAUUUGGACAGAAAGACCCUAUGAAGCUUUACUGUAGCUUGGAAUUGUGUUCGGGCUUGCUGUGCGCAGGAUAGGUGGGAGGCUAUGAAGGUAUGCUUGUGGGUGUACUGGAGCCGUCAGUGAGAUACCACUCUCAGGGGGCUAGAAUUCUAACUAAAGAAAGGACAGUUUCAGGUGGGCAGUUUGACUGGGGCGGUCGCCUCCAAAAAGGUAACGGAGGCGUACAAAGGUUCCUUCAGACUGGUUGGAAAUCAGUCGCAGAGUGCAAAGGCAGAAAGGAGCUUGACUGCGAGAAUUACAGUUCGAGCAGGGUGGAAACACGGUCUUAGUGAUCCGACGGUGCUGGUGGAAGGGCCGUCGCUCAACGGAUAAAAGUUACUCUAGGAUAACAGGCUGAUCUCCCCCAAGAGUUCACAUCGACGGGGAGGUUUGGCACCUCGAUGUCGGCUCAUCGCAACCUGGGGCGGAAGUACGUCCCAAGGGUUGGGCUGUUCGCCCAUUAAAGCGGUACGUGAGCUGGGUUCAGAACGUCGCGAGACAGUUCGGUCCAUAUCCGAUGUAGGCGAGAGAAUAUUGAGAGGAGCCUUCCUUAGUACGAGAGGACCGGGAAGGACGCACCGCUGGUGUACCUGUUAUGAUGCCAAUUGUAAACGCAGGGUAGCCAAGUGCGGAGAGGAUAACCGCUGAAAGCAUCUAAGUGGGAAGCCCACCUCAAGAUGAGUAUUCUGUGUUAAGGUCACGGGAAGACGACCCGUAAAUAGGCACGAGGUGGAAGUACAGUAAUGUAUGAAGCCGAAGUGUACUAAUAGACCGUCAGCUUGAC
RNAcentral lists this ribosomal RNA (1324 nucleotides) under metagenome. RNAcentral's name for it is "bacterial LSU rRNA". It matches the Rfam family "Bacterial large subunit ribosomal RNA", at positions 1561 to 2925 of the family's 2925-position model. The record is from RNAcentral.